GAAAUGCUGGCUGGCCUCUGUAAGCUGCUUGAAGAGUGACGCACUUUCACUUUUAAGCUGUUCAACCUGCUCAGGAUUUAACAUGUAGAUGGUCAUAAUCUCGAAACAAGUUUUGCAUCAUCGUGUGGCAAGGCCCUACUGAGAAUAUGGUGCCAGGGCAGAGAACAAGGCUGCAGACAGUCAAUUUUCGUUUGAAUCAAAGAGUGUACCUGCAACUCGAGGUCAGUUAAUUGUGCGUGCUUUCUCCUCCUCGAUCGCCGAGCUGACUCCCUGUUGGACACCAUCCUGAAAUUUGGCACAGAUCAAAAGGCAUGCCAAAUGUACCGGAGACGGCCGCUGUUUGCGAACCCAUUGUCGACGAGACAGCAGGGUGCGGCGCACAGACACCGUCGGACCACCACUGAUGGCCGGCGUCGCUCCCUUCCAGUUCCAGGGCU
Brachypodium distachyon (stiff brome) is the source of this 437-nucleotide long non-coding RNA. RefSeq lists it as uncharacterized. Lineage: Eukaryota; Viridiplantae; Streptophyta; Magnoliopsida; Poales; Poaceae. The record is from RefSeq and is a predicted model, not a curated record. The transcript has 3 exons.